Molecule: ribosomal RNA, 616 nt
Filed under: Ochthebius nr. difficilis IBE RA126
Lineage: Eukaryota; Metazoa; Arthropoda; Insecta; Coleoptera; Hydraenidae
Description: partial 16S ribosomal RNA
Rfam family: Bacterial large subunit ribosomal RNA
Source: RNAcentral
GUCUUUUUGAUUAUAAUUUAAAGUCUAACCUGCCCAAUGAUUUUUAAAUGGCCGCGGUAUUUUGACCGUGCAAAGGUAGCAUAAUCAUUAGUUUUUUAAUUGAAAGCUGGAAUGAAUGGUUGAACGAAAAAAUUACUGUCUCAAUUUAAUUUAAUUAGAAUUUUAUUUUUAAGUUAAAAAGCUUAAAUUUAUUUAAAAGACGAGAAGACCCUAUAGAGUUUUAUAUUAAAAUUAAUUAAUUUUUUAUAAUAUAUUUUUAUUUUUUUUUAAUAUUUUAUUGGGGUGAUAGAUAAAUUUAUUUAACUUUAUUUUUUUUUAUACAUUAAUUUAUGAUUUUAUGAUCCAAUAUUAUUGAUUAUAAGAUUAAAUUACCUUAGGGAUAACAGCGUUAUCUUUUUAGAGAGUUCAAAUCGAAAAAAAGGAUUGCGACCUCGAUGUUGGAUUAAAAUUAAUUUUUGGUGUAGAAGCUAAAAAAAUUAAGUCUGUUCGACUUUUAAAAUUUUACAUGAUCUGAGUUUAAACCGGUGUGAGCCAGGUUGGUUUCUAUCUUUAAAAAAUUUAAAUAUUUUAGUACGAAAGGACCAAAUAUUUAUAAAAUUUAUUUUUUAUUGAAUAU